UAUUUAGAUAAAAAUAGGUGAGAAUAUAGUUAACACCUUUUUAUGUAUGGUAAUUUGUAUAUGUUGUGCAUUUUCGGCUGAAAUGUUAUAAUUUAAUUGGCCAGCACAGUUGAAUUAAUUAUUAACCAACUCGAUGGUUUGUUGAUGUCGCUACUUUUCUGUGCUUCAUAACCUAGAGGUUCAACUGUCAGACAUGCUGAUUUUCAUAUUUUAAUUGUGUGUUUUUUAAUAUGUGAUGAUAAUUUCUGUUGUUCAUGGGUCCUCUAAGAUCAAUGAUCUGUUUGAAUACCUUGCUCUUGCAGAUUUUUUUGAAUGUCAACUGAGUUGCUCGUGUCCUGAUGAAGAGCCCAACAAUAGGCUCGAAAUAUAGACAAUCGAACGACAAA
Molecule: long non-coding RNA, 386 nt
Organism: Coccinella septempunctata (seven-spotted ladybird)
Lineage: Eukaryota; Metazoa; Arthropoda; Insecta; Coleoptera; Coccinellidae
Exons: 2
Source: RefSeq, a predicted model, not a curated record